UUAAUUCUAAGGGUAAAAUCGUUUAUAAAUUUAUAAGUGUUAGUUUUGCACUCAAUGCCAUCUUAUGUGGCUAUUUUUGAAAUUGAUUCUAUAUCCGGAUCAUUCACACACACCCACAAAUAUUUUUAUAAACCUAAAGUAGCCAUUCAUCCCCACACAUUCAAAAAAAUAAAAUGAAUCAACGAUUCAACUUAGGUAGUAAUUCACGUCGUCGAAAGAAAACUCAUUUUCCAGGGUCAAGUAAUCUUGGCAGAACAAUUCAGACAUGUCUGGUAAUGACAACACGGAUGUGUCGAGGAAAGACAAGGAUGCGUUUUCAGUGAUGACGUCAUGAUCUGGCGGGACCGUUUCCUUGUUCUUAGAUUCUCCAGGAAAACACGAGUGUUCUCCAAAGUAAGUGACGUCAAAGACUGUUUGAUCUCCAUCCGACAUCUGAACAUGUUUCGUGGCUAAACAUUGUCGGGAUUGGCUAUAUGUGCAUCUGAAGUAUCCUCUGUAAACAUAACAAAUUUAUAAAACGUAUAAUCCUUAAUUAAUUCCGUAAUUAAUGAAUUAAUUAAGAUUUAAAGCUCGUACUUUGGAUGUUUAGUGCCGAGAAUAUUCUUCUGUCCAUAUUUCUUCCAAUGGUAUCCAUCCUCCAGCGAUUCUGCCAACCCCUUUGCAAAGUUUACCGUCAUCUUGACGUGCCUAGUGAAUUUCUCCUUACUCCUCCGGAUCCUCUUCUUGCUCCUCCUGUUCUGGACCCUCGGAGUGUCCUCCGGUUUGAUCUGCUCUCCUUCGAAAACAGCAAACUGUGCGCGUAUCAUGGUAUUCUCAAUGGAAGUGGUUAAAGAGUUGACGAGAGAUUUGAUUGAGCUGAUAUCCAAACAGUGUAGAUCUUGUUGGUCGAGUAGAAGCUGAAGCUUCUUGGCGAAAACACGGGAGUUGUUGAUCUCGGCGAUGAGAUGAUUCUCCAUGCUUCUUCUUCGAUUGAUUCCGGUUGAUUUAAGAAGAGAUCGAAGAUAGGGUGGUUGGUUUGAUUUAUUUUCAGAACAAUUGGGACAGUCACUCAGACAACACAGGCAUUAAACGAAUAUAUGUUGAUGAAAUUGCGUAGAAAAGGAUUUCAAUUGGGGAUUGGGGCCGGUCAAUCCAAAGGAAAAUACAAUUCCGCAAUCAGCUUCCGCGUUCGGAUUAAGAAUGUGAAAUUAAGAAUGUGAAAUGUGAAUGUUUUUUUAAAAUAUUUUUACGUGUGAAUGCAAGAAUGGUUUCAUUAAAAUAUUAAGGGUAAAUAUAGUCUCUAGAUGCUAGAUAGUAGCUAGAUAAAAAGUAUUAAUUAUAAUCAAAAUCCUAAUUAUAAUUUGCAAGUUAUAAAUCAAAGACCUUGUUUCUGUUAAAACACAAAUAUACUUAAUUAUUAUCAAAUUUAUACUGAUUACUAUUAGUUGUUAGUAUUAGUUAUGGAUAAUAUAUUGAUAUAAAUACUUCAAUUCAUGUAUUUGACCCAAUUGUUUUUUUAUACAAUUGAUUUUGCUUUCAUAAAAUACAAUAGUUGUUCUCCUAAGAUCUGUUGCUUGCUCCCAUCAAGGAUUGAGCAAUCUCACAGUUUCACUGUGUUGAAGAAGAAAUUUUUGAAGUGGAUAGAGGAGAUGGUGAGAAAGAUAGAUGGGAUCGAGUUGAAUCUUCAAGGUGUGAAGUUCAGCUUGAAGGUUGAGAUUCCUCUUGAGAGGGAGUAUCAGCCAGAAAGUUCAGCCAGAAGUCGUCAAAUUUCGAGGGGGAGUAUCACAAACUCUCCCGACACUGCUGUCGCUUCGGCCAGAAGUCGUCAAAUUUCGAGGGGAGUAUCACAAACUCUUCCGACACUUUUGUCGCUUUGGCCAGAAGUCGUCAAAUUUCAGGGGGAGUAUCACAAACUCUCCCGACACUUCUAUCGCUUCGGUCAGAAGUUGUCAAAAAUUGAGCAUGGUAAGAUCUGUCGUUUCGGCCAGAUUUACCAAGGUUUUAUUGAGCAAAGGAAGGGCAUCACGAAAGGUAAAAUCGCAAGGUAAGUUCAAUAAGUAAAUAAAAAUACGCGUUUUGGACUGAUCUAGUUGUUUUGCAGGAUGUUUCCUUUUUUGCAGGUAAGAUUCCGCCAUCUUGGCCAGGAUCAGAUUCUAAUAGUGAAUCUGUAGCUUUGACCGGAAUCAGAUUCUAAUAGUGAAUCAACAGAUUCUGUCGCUUCGGCCAGAAUCAGACUCUGAUAGUGAAUCGGUCUGUCUUGUCGCUUUGGCCUUGACAGACCAGAGGUCAUUUUGUCGCUUUGGCCUUCUGUCGCUUCGUCCAGAAGUCAUCGAAUUCCAUUUUGUUGCUUUGGCCUUAAUGGACCAAGAAUUAUUUUGUCGCUUUGGCCUCAAUAAUUCUUCUAUCCUGUCGCUUUGGCUUUGAUAGACUUGGAGAUCAUUUUGUCGCUUUGGCCUUAAUGAUCUCGACCCACCUUGUCGCUUUGGCCUUGGUGAGGUAACCGUCAUUGCGGACAUAAAGUCGCUCUUGAUCAGGGUGGACUAUAAACAUCAGUUCUGAUAGUGAACUAGAUUCUGAUAGUGAAUCCACGCAUUCUGUUGUUUCGGCCAGAAUCAGAUUCUGAUAGUGAAUCUACGCAUUCUAUCGUUUCGGCCAGAAUCAGGCUCUGAUAGUGAGUCAGUCCAUUUUGUCGCUUUGGCCUUAAUGGACGGGAAUUAUUUUGUCGCUUUGGCCUUAAUAAUUCCCUCUCAUCUUAUCGCUUUGGCCUUGAUCAUGACACAGCAAAAGUCGUUCCUGAUCAGAGUUGGACUAUAAACACGUAGUUCCGUUGGCCUGAAGCUAGAUUCUGAUAGUGAAUCAAUCUAUCUGAUAGCUAGUGCAUGGAUAACGGAGUCAUUGUGUCGCUGUGGCCGCAAUGAUUCGAUCUCAUCUUGUCGCUUUGGCCUUGAUGCGGAUCACCUUGCUUGGGGGGGGAUACUGGCGAUACACGCAUGUUUCUUGUGCUCUCUUCAGGGGGAGUACUGGUGAGAUAUGCCUGAUUACGUCAGUCACUCCCAGCAACGCCCCUCAACAAGGAUUAGGGUUCCGUCGCUUUACGUCAGACCCCCGGAAGGCAUCCACGGUGCGGAGUAAGUGUCUAUGUCAAAUACUCAAGGCAACACCUGGGAAUCGCCGACUGGGACUACCAAGUCGCCGAUUCUAGGGGUGCGUCGCCGACUCCAGACAGGGCAUUCGGGUCUGGUAGACCGAGGACAUGACCACAAGGGAGUCGGCGACUCCACCUCUGAAUCGGCGACUCCCAUACCUGAGUCGUCGAUUCCCAGCCGUUACUUGGGAGGGCCCACGUCAUUAUGACAUCCUUAAUUGGGCACCAUAAUGGAGUGAGCCCCACGUUAAUGAAUGGGGAAACGCCCCCAAUACCCUAUAAAAGGGGUCCUCCACUCUCAAGUCAUUCCCACUUGACAACACUCCAACUAGAGAAAACCAAUGAGCCCGAGUCGCCGACUCCCACGUGAGUCGCCGAUUCCCCUCCUCUUCUGCAAGUACAUUGACGUAGAGUGCGCGUCGUGAACUUCAAAGCCUCCGACCCUCCUCGCAACCUCGCGAGCCCACUGGUAGCAGAUUUCGUGUUUCAUCAGCUAUAAACAUAAGGGUAUGCAUGCAUAAAGAAAAACAUAUUGUCAGCAAAAUAAAAUACUUAAGGACUGCAUGGAUAGAAUAAAAACAUCAAGGGCUUAACAUAAAUUAUUUAUGAAGUUUUUUACUAAGUUUAAAAUGAUUCACUGAAACUUAAAGGUCAAAAUCAUAUCUUUACAAUGAAUGAAUAUUUAUUUAAAACUUCAGGGGACUUAUAAUUAACAUUUACAUGAAGUUUUUAAUCGAAAAAUGCUUAGAAAUAUUUAAUACUUCCAAGGUUUAAAAUAAAUUUUUUUAAGUAUUAAUCUAAAUAUUUAUCAUAACUUCAAAGGGCUUAAAUGAAAUUUUUUAAGUAAAAUUUUAUUACUAAGACUUUAAGGACUUAAAUGAAAAUUUUAAAAUCUUUUAAAACUUAGUAAAUAUUUACAUUAUUAUAUAUUAGUCACUAAGUCAGAUUUUAAAACUUUAAGUGCUCAAUUCUUCUUAAAGAAGUUAGUGAAUAUUGAUUCAUACAUACAUAUCAUUCACUAAUAUAUCUUAUGGAUUAUAACAUUAUAAAAUCUUUAAUACAUACAUGUUAAGAUCAAUUUAUCCAUAACACACAUGGAUUAUUAUUUAUUGCAUGAUCUUAACACAAGGCAAUUUAAAUUAUCAUAUCAUACUUGUCUUAUAAUGUAUAUCAAAAUUGGCUCCAAUCCAAUAUUUUAUCAAUAAACAUAAAUUACAUGUUAUUUCUCUUAUAUGAUUGACUAACACUCUUAUAAGCGCAAGAAGUCACAUUUGGUCAACCACACAAAUCAAAUUUGUCAUCAAAGCUCAAUAAGGUAUAAAAUUUUAUUUUCUCCACAAAUUAGAUAUGUUCUAUCAUUAAGGGGAAGAUACUUCAUAGGUAUUUAUUUUAACUUUGUCAAUACUUUAUUGUUUUAAGGGGGAGAUAUCAUGCAUGAUCCACUAUCUUUAAAUUAAAUAUUAUGGGCCAAUAAUUCAGGGGGAGCAUGCUUAUAAGGAUAAAAUAGAAUAUUGAAUAAACAUGAAUUAAAACAUAUAUACCAUCGACAAAGGGGGAGAAUGUAAAAUCAAAAUUAUCGACAUAUGAUUAUAUUUUAAUCAUGUCAAUUUAAACCCUAAUUACACUAUUAAUCUAUAGAGCGAAAUUAGUCAAUAUUAAACCUAACUUCAAUUAAUUAAUUAAUCAUUUGAAUCAAAGGUUUAAUUCAAAAUUAAAAUUCAAAUUGGAAUAAUUGCAUCUUUUACCUUAAAUAUUAUUAUUAUUAUCUUUGACUCUUUAUUCAAAGUAUAAUAUUCCAAGGGGACAAAACACUAUUCACGUUUGAAUUUUUCUAAGAUAAGAUUCUCCAACAACACACCAUCCAAGGAAAAGUAACACUAUUCAAGAUAAGAUCAAAGACAAAGUUUGGAUUUAUGUGAAAAAUCAAGGAGCCAUCCAUUGAAGAUCCAAGGGUGAACAUCAAGUGGCCAAGGCUAUAAAUAGAAGGGUAUACUCCUCAUUUCCACUCACCACACUACAAGCAAUCAAAAGAGUUUUUCACUCCACAUUUGAGUUCAUAAGUGUUCUUGCUUCUAAACUUCCAAAGUUCUCAAGUGUUCUAGCUUUCCAAAGCUUCAAAAGCUCUCCAACUUCUUUUUCUAAUCUUCUUGUUCAUCUCUACAAGAAGUUUCUACUCCUCUAAUCAUCUCUUGUGUGUGUCCACUUUGGUUGAGAGGUUUGUCUCAAGAUCACCAAAGUGUGAGAAAAGGUUUUUGAGCUAAACUAAAAAACUCUAAGUUUGGUUUUAUAGAGUUUCCGGGAAAACUCUUAGAUCGAAUCUACCUUGAAAGAUAGAUUUUUAGGUUUUUAAGAGUUCCUUGAUACUUUAAGGUGUUAACCUACCCAUAAAGUUAAGAGGUUUUUAAGAGUUCCAUAAUACUCUAAAGUGUAAGUCUACCCGUAAAAGACUGGUUCCUAAACGAAGUUAACCUUAAAGCUUAGAGAGGUUUUUAAGAGUUCAUUGAUACUCUAAGGCACUAACUUACCCGUAAAAGUUAGAGGUUUUUAAAAGUUCCAUAAUACUCUAAGGUGUGAGUCUACCCGUAAAAGACUGGUUCCUAAGCGAAGUUAGCCUUAAAGCUUAGAUAGGUUUUUAAGAGUUUCCUUGAUACUCUAAGGUUUUGCCAUAACCUUUAGGCUAGUGAAUUCCGAUAGUAUGUCGGGACUGGAUUAGCCCUUGUUUGGGUGAACUAGUAUAAAUUCUCUUGUGUUGUUCUUUGUUAACUUUAGUUUUUAUCUUUCAUCUAAAAACAACUAAACAACACUUAAUUGAAAAGGAUCCUUCUUCCAGUUAUCUGGUCAAAUACAGAGGUUGACUACUUUACGCAGAUCUCUCAUCCAGUUAUCUGGUCAACUAUCUGAGGUUAUAUUCAUUGCGUUAAAUCUUUGUUCAGAUAUUUGUUCAAGCAUUUACUAAUCAAAUAUAUAUCCAGUUAUCUGAUCAUUUACUCUAUAACUUGUUUAUCAAAUAUAUAUCCAAUUAUCUGAUCAUUUACUUUAUAAUAUAACUUGUGUUUAUAAUAUAACUUAGUAUUCAUAUACUACAGUUAUUUAUAAAACACUAUCUAAUAAGUUAACUCAAUAUUCAUAUAAGCUUUGAAGAGAAAGAGGCAAAGUUAUAAAUAUAUAUAUAUAAUAUUAUAUUGUAAAAUAUAAUAUUAUAAUCAUUUAAAGUUAUAAUAUUCUUAUAUUAUUGUUGUUCAACCAUUUGUAUCUUAAGUGUUUACAGGUAAUUCCGUUAUUAACCUGUAUAAAUCGAAAAGAUGCUAUUAUCCCCUCUUAUAGCUUCGGAUCACGAUCCAACAAAAUGAAGGUCUAUACCAACUUCCGAUGAAGAUGGAGAUAAAUAAAAUACCAGAAGCAUUAUCAAGUGAGCGGGUAUCAAACGAUCAAUGGCAUUCUAGGCUUGGACAUUUACACAAUCAGGCGAACAAACAAAUGGUUUCUAAAUCUAUAAUAUCAUCAAAUUGUAACAAAAUUUUGAGUUGUGAGUCAUGUAUGAUUAAUAAAUCAAGUUCUUCACCUCAUAAAACAAGUACUAGAAUAUAUUCAACUCCACUCAACGGGUAUAUACAGACAUUUGGGGGUCGGUCUCAAUCAUAUUAUCAGAAGGGUUCAAGUAUUAUAUAAAUUUUGUUGAAGCAACCACCCAUUUUAAUUGAGUGUUUCCACUAAGAAGCAAGCCUGAGGUAACUCGAUCAGAUAUUUGAGAAAUUCACAAGUUAAGUGGGACGAAAUUAUUGUACUCCUCUGCUUAUUAUCCCCAAACUGAUGGCCAAACAGAGGUUGUUAAUAGAACCUUGGAGAUUUACUUAAGGUCCUACUGCCAUGAAGACCCUAAGCAAUGGUUGAAUCUACUGCCAUGGGCAGAAUUAUGGUACAAUUUCGGGUAUCAUUCAUCAUAAGGCAUGACUCCUUUUAAGGCAUUAUAUGGGAAGGAGGCUUCAAAAUUAAAACCUUAUAAUCUUGGAAAAUCUGAUAUUGAGGCAGUUGAUAUGAUCCUACAGCUUAGAGAGAGCACUCUGGCCAUUAUGAAAGAAAAUUUACAUAAGGCACAAGCAAGAAUGAAAUUAAAGGCUAAUAAGAAAAGGGAAGAUAUUGUGUUUGAGGAAGGUGAGUGGGUAUUGGUGAAACUACAUCCCUACAUGCAAGAAUCUGUUGCUAAUAGACUUCAUAACAAACUGGGACAAAAAUAUUUUGGGUCCUAUCAAAUUCAGAAAAAAAUUAACAGUGCUGCCUAUAGAUGGAAGUUACCAAAUGGAAGUAAAAUCCACAAUACCUUUCAUGUAUCAAAACUGAAGAAAUUCCAAGGGAAUAAUCCAGAAAAUGCUACAUUUGAUAAUCCCCUCAUAGCUGUGGAGAAUCGUCCUAUAAUAUACCCAAUAGCCAUACUUGAUUCAAGAUUUAUUUGGAAAGGAAAAAACAAAGUUAAACAAGUGCUGGCCCAGUGGAGUGGAUCCUUACCGAAAGACUCAUUGUGGGAGUCUGUGGCCGAGGUAGCAUCGCUCUUUCCAUCCUUAAACCUUGACAACAAGGUCGUGCUUAAAGAGGGAGGAGAUGAUACGAUAUUGAUCAGCUUUGGUGACGUAUCGGAAGAUGUCUACGGGAUAACAGCAAUCGCCGGUGAGGAAUCCCUAGCUGGAAAUGAAUUGGGGACGGGCGACAGUUCAGUGCAGUUGAACAACCAAGAACUUGAUCCGACUUUUAAAUCUCAAAGAAAGAGGGAGAGGCCGAACCGUCUCAAAGAAAGAUUAUAAUAUACCCAAAUGAUUAAAUGAAAGUUAUAAUAAAUUUACUUAAAAGACCUUUAUAAGUAGUCUAUUUCAAUUCGGUCCUGUUUGUAUUAAAACUCUGCAAUCAUUGAGAAUCAUUAUCGAAUUCUGAAAUUUACUGUUCCAUUACAAUCCUCUCAAACCCUAACAUCCGACAACCGCCUCCCCAAUUCUCCGGAUCUGUCUCUACUCUUGCCGUAUUGAGUACUCAAUUGAGUUGCUUAACAGCAAACACCUAAAUCUCAAUUUCAGGGAUUUAUUCCCGUUGCUAGCGCCUUGGACACCCAGGAUUUUUGAUCUUGGCUUUAAGACACUUCGAUCUGUCAGGUCCGGUUAUUUUUAUUGAGAUUAAUCAAGAUAGACAUAUAUCAAUGACUAGGAAGAAGAUGUGUUUUUACCCGUUAACGGUAGAGAUGACAGUUUCGUAAAUUUGAUUUAAUUUUAAGGGUAAAAUCGUUUAUAAAUUUAUAAGUGAUUAGUUUUGCACUCCAUGCCAUCUUAGGUGGCUAUUUUUGAAAUUAAUUCUAUGCACAAAUAUUUUUAUAAACCUAAAGUAGCCAUUCAUCCCCACACAUUCAAAAAAAAAAAUGAAUCAACGAUUCAACUUAGGUAGUAAUUCACGUCGUCGAAAGAAAACUCAUUUUCCAGGGUCAAGUAAUCUUGGCAGAACAAUUCAGACAUGUCUGGUAAUGACAACACGGAUGUGUCGAGGAAAGACAAGGAUGCGUUUUCAGUGAUGACGUCAUGAUCUGGCGGGA
Molecule: long non-coding RNA, 8693 nt
Filed under: Zostera marina
Lineage: Eukaryota; Viridiplantae; Streptophyta; Magnoliopsida; Alismatales; Zosteraceae
Description: long non-coding RNA (ZMAR_LNC002584)
Source: RNAcentral